This 76-nucleotide transfer RNA is filed under the name Streptomonospora litoralis. RNAcentral describes it as "Streptomonospora sp. M2 tRNA-Gln". It matches the Rfam family "tRNA". From Rfam's summary of the family: Transfer RNA (tRNA) molecules are approximately 80 nucleotides in length. Their secondary structure includes four short double-helical elements and three loops (D, anti-codon, and T loops). Further hydrogen bonds mediate the characteristic L-shaped molecular structure. tRNAs have two regions of fundamental functional importance: the anti-codon, which is responsible for specific mRNA codon recognition, and the 3' end, to which the tRNAs corresponding amino acid is attached (by aminoacyl-tRNA synthetases). tRNAs cope with the degeneracy of the genetic code in two manners: having more than one tRNA (with a specific anti-codon) for a particular amino acid; and 'wobble' base-pairing, i.e. permitting non-standard base-pairing at the 3rd anti-codon position. Lineage: Bacteria; Bacillati; Actinomycetota; Actinomycetes; Streptosporangiales; Nocardiopsidaceae. The record is from RNAcentral.
UUCCCGGGUGGUCUAAUGGCAGGACACAGGCUUUUGGUGCCUUGAGGUGAGGGUUCGAAUCCUUCCCCGGGAGCCC